This 1080-nucleotide long non-coding RNA is filed under the name Anser brachyrhynchus (Pink-footed goose). RNAcentral's name for it is "lncRNA (ENSABRG00000003450.1)". The record is from RNAcentral. Lineage: Eukaryota; Metazoa; Chordata; Aves; Anseriformes; Anatidae.
GUAAAACAAUGUAUUGAAAGCUGCUGGGCAGAGCUCUGCUGUGCUGAAUCUGUGGCAAGCUUCAGUAACACAAAUAUGAUGUUGUCAGGCCAUCACCGUAACUGGCACCUCUGCAGUCACACAAUAGGCUGAAAACAAAAUCCUCAUCUCUGGCAUCUCAGACUUCCUGGACCUGCAACUGCAGCAGCAAGCCAGGACCCCGAGGGCACUGACAGCUACGUUAUCCUGAACAGCCUCACCUGGGGCUCAGCCACACCUGCUGGCUCUAAUUGAGAUCAGCUCUGGGCAUCUAGAACCUUCUCAGAGCUGUUGGGCUGAUGCUUCACCACCUCUGUCUGCUGGAUGGACCUCAGCCAAGCCAAUGGUCAAACAAGAUGAGAAAAAGUGGGGUGAAACUGCCUGGAGAUCUUACAGUGCACCUACUGCUACAAAUGGAAAAGUUCAUCCUGAAGGAGGGAAGGAGUGGCAGAAGAUAAGAUCAGCUUCACACACUCUGUGGAGGAGAUUCCUCGUAUUAAUGUCCAGCCCUCUGAAGACGACAGACAGACACCUGGUGUGUGCAGCAGAUCUCGUGCUGACCUGACCUCGCAGUGGGAGCUCAGCAAAGGACUUGUCCCAGGGCAGCUGUUAACUUCAGGGUGUUUUCCUGAGCUCGUUUCAGGCAAUGCAUGUCCUCAGCAAUGCAGCAGGUACACAGCUUUAUAGCACCACAUGCACCACCCUCAGGGGACUGAUCCCAACCCCACUGAUGUUUGGUCUCCUUGAGCAGCAGCUUGUUGCAGCGUGUUUACUAUUGCAAUAAGGGCAAAUCCCAGCUUGUUUCAGAGCAAAUUCUCUGCAGGAAUCACUGGUGUUACCGAAGUCAGGAACUGGCACAUGCGGUACCGAGUCUCCAACCUGCAGCCUGCUCCUGCUGUAGGACUACAGCCCUCUGGUGGUAGCUAAUCGCAUAUUUUGUGGAGGGCUGCUUAACAGCUCUGAGCCCUGACCUUUAAGGUGCUGCCUGCAGGGAUAUGAAUAUUCCUGAUCUCCGAGUUCAUACAUGAAACAUGGCACUUUUUUUUUUUUUUUUCUGAAUUC